UAACGCGUGGGUAACCUGCCUUNUACAGGGGGAUAACAGUUAGAAAUGACUGCUAAUACCGCAUAAGCGCACAGGAUUGCAUGAUCUGGUGUGAAAAACUCCGGUGGUAUAAGAUGGACCCGCGUCUGAUUAGCUGGUUGGUGAGGUAACGGCCCACCAAGGCGACGAUCAGUAGCCGACCUGAGAGGGUGACCGGCCACAUUGGGACUGAGACACGGCCCAAACUCCUACGGGAGGCAGCAGUGGGGAAUAUUGCACAAUGGGGGAAACCCUGAUGCAGCGACGCCGCGUGAGCGAAGAAGUAUUUCGGUAUGUAAAGCUCUAUCANNNNGGAAGAAAAAAAUGACGGUACCUGACUAAGAAGCCCCGGCUAACUACGUGCCAGCAGCCGCGGUAAUACGUAGGGGGCAAGCGUUAUCCGGAUUUACUGGGUGUAAAGGGAGCGCAGGCGGUGCGGCAAGUCUGAUGUGAAAGCCCGGGGCUCAACCCCGGGACUGCAUUGGAAACUGUCGUACUUGAGUAUCGGAGAGGUAAGUGGAAUUCCUAGUGUAGCGGUGAAAUGCGUAGAUAUUAGGAGGAACACCAGUGGCGAAGGCGGCUUACUGGACGAUAACUGACGCUGAGGCUCGAAAGCGUGGGGAGCAAACAGGAUUAGAUACCCUGGUAGUCCACGCCGUANACGAUGNAUACUAGGUGU
This 697-nucleotide ribosomal RNA is filed under the name uncultured bacterium. Its description in RNAcentral is "bacterial SSU rRNA". It matches the Rfam family "Bacterial small subunit ribosomal RNA", at positions 111 to 823 of the family's 1533-position model. The record is from RNAcentral.